Molecule: small nucleolar RNA, 72 nt
Organism: Psammomys obesus (fat sand rat)
Lineage: Eukaryota; Metazoa; Chordata; Mammalia; Rodentia; Muridae
Product: small nucleolar RNA SNORD113/SNORD114 family
Exons: 1
Source: RefSeq, a predicted model, not a curated record
UGAGCCAAUGAUGAGAGUUUCCAAGGUAUGAAAGAGAUGAUGACCAUGUCUGUUUGGAACUCUGAGGUCCAA